GACGAACGCUGGCGGCGUGCUUAACACAUGCAAGUUGAACGGAAAGGCCCUGCUUUUGUGGGGUGCUCGAGUGGCGAACGGGUGAGUGACACGUGAGUAACCUGCCCUUGACUUUGGGAUAACUUCAGGAAACUGGGGCUAAUACCGGAUAGGAGCUCCUGCUGCAUGGUGGGGGUUGGAAAGUUUCGGCGGUUGGGGAUGGACUCGCGGCUUAUCAGCUUGUUGGUGGGGUAGUGGCUUACCAAGGCUUUGACGGGUAGCCGGCCUGAGAGGGUGACCGGCCACAUUGGGACUGAGAUACGGCCCAGACUCCUACGGGAGGCAGCAGUGGGGAAUAUUGCACAAUGGGCGGAAGCCUGAUGCAGCAACGCCGCGUGCGGGAUGACGGCCUUCGGGUUGUAAACCGCUUUCGCCUGUGACGAAGCGUGAGUGACGGUAAUGGGUAAAGAAGCACCGGCUAACUACGUG
RNAcentral lists this ribosomal RNA (468 nucleotides) under uncultured bacterium. RNAcentral describes it as "partial 16S ribosomal RNA". It matches the Rfam family "Bacterial small subunit ribosomal RNA", at positions 28 to 507 of the family's 1533-position model. The record is from RNAcentral.